This 360-nucleotide RNase P RNA is filed under the name Bacteroidales bacterium. Its description in RNAcentral is "RNase P RNA component class A". It matches the Rfam family "Bacterial RNase P class A". From Rfam's summary of the family: Ribonuclease P (RNase P) is a ubiquitous endoribonuclease, found in archaea, bacteria and eukarya as well as chloroplasts and mitochondria. Its best characterised activity is the generation of mature 5'-ends of tRNAs by cleaving the 5'-leader elements of precursor-tRNAs. Lineage: Bacteria; Pseudomonadati; Bacteroidota; Bacteroidia; Bacteroidales. The record is from RNAcentral.
UAAGCUGUUCUUCUCAUCGCUCUUUUUAUAAAAAAGGGAGGAAAGUCCGGACACCGCAGAGCACCAUGCUUUCUAACAGAAAGGUUCGUUUAUACGAAACAGAAAGUGCAACAGAAAUUAUACCGUCUCAGCCUUAGGCUUGGGAUAAGGGUGAAAUUGUGAGGUAAGAGCUCACAGUUGAUGGAGGUGACUUCACAACAGGCAAACCUCAUGGGGUGCAAGACCAUGUAUAUCAGCUAAGAGUUGCUCGCUCGUGCUGAGGGGUAGGUCGCAAAAAAUAUUUGGCAACAAAUAUUGCAGAUAAAUGAUGAGAGAUUACUUUGUAAUUUACAGAAUCCGGCUUAUAGAACAGCUUUUUGU